This 523-nucleotide ribosomal RNA is filed under the name uncultured bacterium. RNAcentral's name for it is "partial 16S ribosomal RNA". It matches the Rfam family "Bacterial small subunit ribosomal RNA", at positions 28 to 523 of the family's 1533-position model. The record is from RNAcentral.
GACGAACGCUGGCGGCGUGCCUAAUACAUGCAAGUCGAACGCUUUUUCUUUCACCGGAGCUUGCUCCAUCGAAAGAAAAAGAGUGGCGAACGGGUGAGUAACACGUGGGUAACCUGCCCAUCAGAAGGGGAUAACACUUGGAAACAGGUGCUAAUACCGUAUAACACUAUUUUCCGCAUGGAAGAAAGUUGAAAGGCGCUUUUGCGUCACUGAUGGAUGGACCCGCGGUGCAUUAGCUAGUUGGUGAGGUAACGGCUCACCAAGGCAACGAUGCAUAGCCGACCUGAGAGGGUGAUCGGCCACACUGGGACUGAGACACGGCCCAGACUCCUACGGGAGGCAGCAGUAGGGAAUCUUCGGCAAUGGACGAAAGUCAGACCGAGCAACGCCGCGUGAGUGAAGAAGGUUUUCGGAUCGUAAAACUCUGUUGUUAGAGAAGAACAAGGAUGAGAGUAAAAUGUUCAUCCCUUGACGGUAUCUAACCAGAAAGCCACGGCUAACUACGUGCCAGCCGCCGCAGUAA